UGGUUGAUCCUGCCAGUAGUGAUAUGCUUGUUUCAAAGAUUAAGCCAUGCAUGUCUAAGUAUAAGCGAACUUAUACAGUGAAACUGCGGAUGGCUCAUUAAAACAGUUUGAAUUUAUUUGAUGAAUGUAUGAGAAUACUACUUGGAUAACCGUAGUAAUUCUAGAGCUAAUACAUGCAACGACGCCCGACCGUUUCACUACGGAAGGGCUGUAUUUAUUGGAUACCAAAACCAUCCUUCCCUCGGGAAGCUUUGUUUGAUGAUUCACAAUAACUGAUCGGAUCGCCACUGUGGUGGCGACAGGUCAUUCAACAUUCUGCCCUAUCAGCUUUCGAUGGUUGUGUAGUGGACAACCAUGGCCAUAACGGGUAACGGAGAAUCAGGGUUCGAUUCCGGAGAAGGAGCUUGAGAAUUGGCUACUACAUCUAAGGAAGGCAGCAGGCGCGCAAAUUACCCAAUCCCGAUUCGGGGAGGUAGUGACAAAAAAUAACAAUACCGGGCCUUUUUGGGCUUGGUAAUUGGAAUGAGGGAGAGUUAAACGGACCAUCGAGUAUCCAUUGGAGGGCAAGUCUGGUGCCAGCAGCUGCGGUAAUACCAGCUCCAAUAGCGUAUAUUAAAGUUGUUGCAGUUAAAAAGCUCGUAGUUGGACUUGUGUGCGCUGUCCGCGGGUGGCCUGCGCCCAAAAGGGCGUUUCGGUUCGGCCCCGGUGGCGCCUUGAAAUCUGCAGCUGGGGGGACGUUGGCCUUAACUGGUCGGCGACCGCACGCCGGCUGCUCGGUUACUGUGAGAAAAUUAGAGUGUUCAAGGCAGGCAUUGGGUGCAAUUGAAUACAUUAGCAUGGAAUAAUAAAAUAUGGCUCCUGCCGUAUUUUGUUGGUUUUGACUGGUGGGAGUAAUGAUUGAUAGGGACGGUUGGGGGUGCUAGUAUUGAGCGGCCAGAGGUGAAAUUCAUGGAUUCGCUCAAGACUAACUUAUGCGAAAGCAUUCACCAAGGACGUCCUCUUUAAUCAAGAACGAAAGUUGGGGGAUCGAAGACGAUCAGAUACCGUCGUAGUCUCAACCAUAAACUAUGUCGACUUGGGAUCGGCGGUAGUUUUUUCAUUAAGACACUGUCGGGACCACGGGAGAAAUCAAGGUGUCUGGACUCUGGGGGAAGUAUGGUCGCAAGGCUGAAACUUGAAGGAAUUGACGGAAGGGCACCACCAGGAGUGGAGCCUGC
This 1217-nucleotide ribosomal RNA is filed under the name metagenome. RNAcentral's name for it is "SSU rRNA". It matches the Rfam family "Eukaryotic small subunit ribosomal RNA", at positions 5 to 1186 of the family's 1831-position model. The record is from RNAcentral.